Varroa destructor (honeybee mite) is the source of this 1118-nucleotide long non-coding RNA. Lineage: Eukaryota; Metazoa; Arthropoda; Arachnida; Mesostigmata; Varroidae. The record is from RefSeq and is a predicted model, not a curated record.
UCGAAAACAAGAUCGUUGCCGUCGUUGAAGCCGACAAUUGACUACUACACAAACCAGGAGGUUUUGGGACCACUCGAAGACGAUCGUGAGCUUAUUUAACCGAUACAACGGAGCUGCUCAAAUACGUUCGGAGACAGAUGGUUGAGGAAGCGUACAAAUCAGAUAAAGCAAGCGAGUCUUUGUUGCUGGAGAGCUGCUCCUGACUGCCGCGACGGUUUGUGCGCCUUUCGGUGUUGUGACUUCAUGAAAAUGGGUGCAAAAAACCGAUCCUCUUGCUAUUCUCAUGUAACAACCCCUAGGGCUUCCGAAAAGGGUAGGCCGAAGAACCUAUACUGGCACGUAUGUUGCUCGCACGGGCUGAAGGUAAACGGUCGCUGUUUUACGGUUGGCAGCCCUGCAAUCGAUUGUGAGCAGUGACUCUGAGACACCAUACGUUAGGAACCUCACCUUGGCCUGUUCGAAAAUUGCGGUUCUUCUCUCGAACGGAAAAAGAUCGCCAGAUACUCAAAACAGCCAUGUGCACCCUUCAAUAUAAUACUUGUUUGUACAAUACUACAUACAAGACCGAUAGGCACCACUUAGAGGCUAAAAAAAAAAGAUAGUUUUCAAGUCUGCAUUUAUCCAAUUCGACAAUGAAAGUAGUAGUAGUAGCUGCGCUAAUAUACUGUUGGAGCACAGAUCUACCCCACUACACCUGCCCCUAUAGCAUAGUGGAUUGUGCGUUGGAGUUCUAAUCCAGGGGCCGCGGGUGCGAUCCUCACCAGGAGUAUUUCUUUAGAAACAUAGCCAAUAACUUAGUCAAAAUCCCUUCCAGUCGUUAAAUGAUGAACGAAACAAUAAAGCCAAGUAUAUCAACAAAUCCCAUACAUUCCGAGAAGCUUAGUAUUCAAUGCAUUUAUUAAACUAAGGGCCUUAUACUGCCUCAUUAGCCUUUAUCAUAUAUGUUCCGUGAAAAAUAACUUACUAUAAUGAAGCUACUAUUUAAAUUUCUAGUUUGACUGCUUGGCGUAGGAGAAGUUAGAAACUACAUUUCGGCGUGUAAAAAUUUAAUAAGUCGUUUAGUUAUCUUAUGGAAGAAUUCUGUGAAUCUAAAGCUGGCCUAGACCUUACUGUCGAAA